UGAGUACAGUAUACAUUAUUGGUGGUACAUGACAAUGCAGGGGUCCCCAAAUCCCCCCCCCCUUCUUCAGGGGAUCUGGGAUGGAAACUGUAUAGAGGUGAGGAGAUUCUCAGUGUGUUGAGGGAUGAGCUGGGGAGAGGACUCCCCAGUAACUGAGGGCCUCUGUUCUUCUUGUCACUGGGGCUGGUGGUCCAGUGGUCUCUCAUUCCUUGGAGGCCUUUUAUACCAUAAGGUCCACCACCUGGUCGCUUUAGCAAAAUUCAUCGUCAUACUUGACAAAGUGGUCAUUGAGAGCAAUGCCAGUCCCCACAUUGGAGGUGGAAGAAUGUGUGUCACUGUUGAUGUCACAGGAGAUACCUGGUCCUCAGUGUAGCACAGGAUGCCCUUGAGGGAAUCCUCUGAUGCCUGCUUCACCACCUUCUUGAUGUCAUCAUAUUUGUAGCUUUCUCCAGGUGUCAGUU
RNAcentral lists this long non-coding RNA (461 nucleotides) under Lynx pardinus (Iberian lynx). Lineage: Eukaryota; Metazoa; Chordata; Mammalia; Carnivora; Felidae. The record is from RNAcentral.